This 1221-nucleotide ribosomal RNA is filed under the name metagenome. RNAcentral's name for it is "SSU rRNA". It matches the Rfam family "Eukaryotic small subunit ribosomal RNA", at positions 558 to 1800 of the family's 1831-position model. The record is from RNAcentral.
AGUCUGGUGCCAGCAGCCGCGGUAAUUCCAGCUCCAAUAGCGUAUAUUAAAGUUGUUGCAGUUAAAAAGCUCGUAGUUGGAUUUCUGGUAUGGUGCGCCUGGUCCACGGUUGCAAAACCGCGAGUAUCGGUGUGCGCCUGCCAUCUUUCUAGUUAACUGGACGCACUUAACUGGGCGGUCAGCGAUCUAGUUCUUUUACUUUGAAAAAAUUAGAGUGUUUAAAGCAGGCUUGCGCUAUGAAUACAUUAGCAUGGAAUAAUAAUUUAGGACUUUGCUUCUAUUUUAUUGGUUUCUAGGAGUUAAGUAAUGAUUGAUAGGGAUAGUUGGGGGUGCUAGUAUUCAUCGGCCAGAGGUGAAAUUCUUGGAUUCGAUGAAGACUAACUAAUGCGAAAGCAUUCACCAAGGAUGUCUUCUUUAAUCAAGAACGAAAGUUGGGGGAUCGAAGACGAUCAGAUACCGUCGUAGUCUCAACCAUAAACUAUACCGACUAGGGAUAAGGGGAAGUUGCUUUUUCGACUUCCUUUGCACCUUAUGAGAAAUCACAAGUCUUUGGGUUCUGGGGGGAGUAUGGUCGCAAGGCUGAAACUUAAAGGAAUUGACGGAAGGGCACCACCAGGAGUGGAGCCUGCGGCUUAAUUUGACACAACACGGGGAAACUUACCAGGUCCGGACAUAGUGAGGAUUGACAGAUUGAAGUUCUUUCUUGAUUCUAUGGGUGGUGGUGCAUGGCCGUUCUUAGUUGGUGGAGUGAUUUGUCUGCUUAAUUGCGUUAACGAACGAGACCUCGACCUGCUAAAUAGUUCAACGUAGGCCUUGCCUAUGUGUGUACUUCUUAGAGGGACUGUUGGUUCAAAGCCAAAGGAAGUUCGAGGCAAUAACAGGUCUGUGAUGCCCUUAGAUGUACUGGGCCGCACGCGCGCUACACUGAUACGUGCAUCGAGCUUACAACCUUGGCUGGGAGGCCUGGUAAUCUUUUCAACGCGUAUCGUGCUGGGGAUAGAUUAUUGUAAUUAUUAAUCUUCAACGAGGAAUUCCUAGUAAGCGCGAGUCAUCAACUCGCACUGAUUACGUCCCUGCCCUUUGUACACACCGCCCGUCGCUGCUACCGAUUGAAUGCAUUAGUGAGCCUUGAGGAUCGUCUUUUCUGAGGGUAAAACUUCGGUCUAGAUGAGAAUCAAUACAAACUUGCGCAUUUAGAGGAAGCAAAAGUCGUAACAAGGU